RNAcentral lists this unclassified non-coding RNA (332 nucleotides) under soil metagenome. RNAcentral describes it as "partial contains 5.8S ribosomal RNA, internal transcribed spacer 2, and large subunit ribosomal RNA". The stretch from base 1 to 120 matches the Rfam family "5.8S ribosomal RNA", at positions 35 to 154 of the family's 154-position model. The record is from RNAcentral.
GAUGAAGAACGUAGCAAAAUGCGAUAAGUAAUGUGAAUUGCAGAAUUCAGUGAAUCAUCGAAUCUUUGAACGCACAUUGCGCCCGCCAGUAUUCUGGCGGGCAUGCCUGUUCGAGCGUCAUUUCAACCCUCAAGCACAGCUUGGUGUUGGGACUCGCGUUAAUUCGCGUUCCCCAAAUUGAUUGGCGGUCACGUCGAGCUUCCGUAGCGUAGUAGUAAAACCCUCGUUACUGGUAAUCGUCGCGGCCACGCCGUUAAACCCCAACUUCUGAAUGUUGACCUCGGAUCAGGUAGGAAUACCCGCUGAACUUAAGCAUAUCAAUAAGCGGAGGA